RNAcentral lists this long non-coding RNA (315 nucleotides) under Ananas comosus (pineapple). Its description in RNAcentral is "long non-coding RNA (ACOM_LNC042179)". Lineage: Eukaryota; Viridiplantae; Streptophyta; Magnoliopsida; Poales; Bromeliaceae. The record is from RNAcentral.
AUGUAGUAACAAUCCCCCUCCGGCCCCUCAAAAACUCAGAAAUUGCAUUCUGCACGAAAAUAGCCUCUGUAGCAUUGAGUACCAGUACACGAAUUGGAGUACCGGUACUCGGCAAUUUCGGUACUAGGGGUCCAGUUCUGCAGAACCCGAAUGUUGGAAAUUCUGGUUUCUAUUAUGUUUCGGUACCCGCCCGAUACAGUACCGGUACUCAGUUCAGUAUCGAUACUCACAACCUGGUUCCGCAAAAUCUCAGAGCUGCCAAAUUCUGCGCUCUACUGAGUUUUGAUACCUCAAGCCAGUACAGGUACUCAACAC